ACGCUCGACACCUACGGGGGCAGCAGUAGGGAAUCUUCCACAAUGGACGCAAGUCUGAUGGAGCAACGCCGCGUGAGUGAAGAAGGUUUUCGGAUCGUAAAGCUCUGUUGUUGGUGAAGAAGGAUAGAGGUAGUAACUGGCCUUUAUUUGACGGUAAUCAACCAGAAAGUCACGGCUAACUACGUGCCAACAGCCGCGGUAAUCUGAGCGGGCUGGCAAGGC
Molecule: ribosomal RNA, 222 nt
Filed under: uncultured bacterium
Lineage: Bacteria
Description: partial 16S ribosomal RNA
Rfam family: Bacterial small subunit ribosomal RNA
Source: RNAcentral